RNAcentral lists this ribosomal RNA (499 nucleotides) under uncultured Glomeromycotina. RNAcentral's name for it is "partial small subunit ribosomal RNA". It matches the Rfam family "Eukaryotic small subunit ribosomal RNA", at positions 591 to 1092 of the family's 1831-position model. Lineage: Eukaryota; Fungi; Glomeromycota. The record is from RNAcentral.
CCAAUAGCGUAUAUUAAAGUUGUUGCAGUUAAAAAGCUCGUAGUUGAAUUUCGGGAUCAGUAGGUCGGUCGUGCCUACGGUACGUACUGGCUUCACUGGUUCCUCCCUUCUGACAAACCAUGAUGUCAUUAAUUUGGUGUCGUGGGGAAUCAGGACUGUUACUGUGAAAAAAUUAGAGUGUUUAAAGCAGGCUUAAGCUUGAAUACAUUAGCAUGGAAUAAUGAAAUAGGACGUUUGAUCUUAUUUUGUUGGUUUCUAGGAUCGACGUAAUGAUUAAUAGGGAUAGUUGGGGGCAUUAGUAUUCAAUUGUCAGAGGUGAAAUUCUUGGAUUUAUUGAAGACUAACUACUGCGAAAGCAUUUGCCAAGGAUGUUUUCAUUAAUCAAGAACGAAAGUUAGGGGAUCGAAGACGAUCAGAUACCGUCGUAGUCUUAACCAUAAACUAUGCCGACUAGGGAUCGGAUGAUGUUAAUUUUUAAUGACUCAUUCGGCGCCUUACG